GACGAACGCUGGCGGCGUGCUUAACACAUGCAAGUCGAACGGAAAGGCCCUGCUUUUGUGGGGUGCUCGAGUGGCGAACGGGUGAGUAACACGUGAGUAACCUGCCCUUGACUUUGGGAUAACUUCAGGAAACUGGGGCUAAUACCGGAUAGGAGCUCCUGCUGCAUGGGGGGGGUUGGAAAGUUUCGGCGGGUUGGGAUGGACUCGCGGCUUAUCAGCUUGUUAGUGGGGUAGUGGCUUACCAAGGCUUUGACGGGUAGCCGGCCUGAGAGGGUGACCGGCCACAAUGGGACUGCGAGACGGCGCAGACUCCUACGGGAGGCAGCAGUGGGGAAUAUUGCACAAUGGGCGGAAGCCUGAUGCAGCAACGCCGCGUGCGUGAUGACGGCCUUCGGGUUGUAAACCGCUUUCGCCUGUGACGAAGCGUGAGUGACGGUAAUGUGUAAAGAAGCACCGGCUAACUACGUA
This 468-nucleotide ribosomal RNA is filed under the name uncultured bacterium. RNAcentral's name for it is "partial 16S ribosomal RNA". It matches the Rfam family "Bacterial small subunit ribosomal RNA", at positions 28 to 507 of the family's 1533-position model. The record is from RNAcentral.